UAUCCCCAAAAUAUUCUGUGAAAGCCAUCCAAACGCGGUCUUCCCCAUUGCCAACUCUUCACACCCCCAAAGGACUUCAUUCGAGUUUGUGUAUAACACGACUUUCAAAUCAGAAGCGCCCCGUAGAAGAGGCGGGCCAAUGGGCAACUCCGGAUCAUCAUCCACCGAUCCUCGCUUUGCCUCCGCCGCUAGAGCAUUUACUCAGAAGGAAUUGGAAGAUUUAAGAUCACUCCAUACCUCGCUUGCCUCCCAGUCCCAAAGCAAUGGGAAAUACGUAUCUCCUGAUGUUUUCAAGGCGUAUAUUGGAAUUGAUGGGCCUCUUGGGGAUAGGGUUUUCGAUUUGGUUACGCAGAAACGCAAGGAUCAAAAGCUCACUUUUGAAGACCUCGUUAUUGCUAAGGGGACUUAUGAGAAAGGAACUAAUGAGGACAUUGAAGAGUUCAUUUACCAACUGCUUGAUGUCUCAGGUGAUGGCACUGUGAGAAGGAAUGAUCUUGAAGUUGUUUUAACUUCCAUGCUUGAUAACCUAUUUCAUCGACAAAGCUCUGAGACUAAAGCAGGAUCGGACCAGGAAAUUGUUAUUGUUUUCAUCAACGCUGCAAAUUUUACUAGUGAUAGCAUGUCUCUUCAGGAUUUCCAGAAAUGGUGCACUCUUCUUCCAGCAGUCAGGAAAUAUCUGGGCAGUUUGUUAAUGCCCUCUGAUUCAGGUUCGCAAGUACCUCAGUUACAGCAUGAGGACAAGAUUCAUCCUAGUCAAAUUUUGUUGAGGAAGGAAUAUGCUUGGCAUAUUGGAGGAGCACUGUCCCCAACUGAACUGGAUGAGUGGAAACUUUUGUAUCAUAGUUCUGUUCAUGGGCUGAGUUUCAACACAUUUUUGGGCAAUAUACAAAUUGAUGGACCAACUAUAUUGAUCAUCAAAGAUAAAGAAGGUUAUAUCUAUGGAGGCUAUGCUUCUCAGCCAUGGGAGAGGCACUCUGAUUUUUAUGGGGAUAUGAGAUCUUUUCUCUUUCAGCUAUAUCCAGUAGCAUCAAUUUUUCGGCCUACUGGGGCAAACCAUAAUUUACAAUGGUGUGCUGUAAAUUUCAGCUCGGAGAGCAUUCCUAAUGGCAUCGGAUUUGGAGGGCGAGUAAAUCAUUUUGGGCUAUUCCUUUCAGCAAACUUUGAUCAGGGGCACACCUUCAGUUGCACAACUUUUGGCAGCCCAUGCCUAUCGAAGACCUCCCAAAUAUACCCAGAUGUAAUAGAAUGCUGGGGAGUGGUUCCAAGAAGAGCUGAUCAGGAUAGACCAGAAGUUAUCAAAGGUACAGUGCUGGAAAGAUUUAAGGAAGAUCGGCAUAUGCUUAAUAUGGUUGGGCUUGCAAAUUCGAGCGAGUGAUUGUUGACAUCUCUUCCACUUUCUCCCCCUAGACUGUUACUCCGGCUGAAGGUUUAGCCCAUUCAUACUUGUGUGGUUGUGUACAAAUACCCAAAUUUUGCUCAAUUUGCCGAGGUUUACAAUUACAAAUAUGCAAGUGCUACUAAUUCUGAAA
Non-coding RNA from Sesamum indicum (sesame), 1529 nucleotides. The record is from RefSeq and is a predicted model, not a curated record. NCBI's taxonomy places the organism in Eukaryota, Viridiplantae, Streptophyta, Magnoliopsida, Lamiales, Pedaliaceae.